This 333-nucleotide unclassified non-coding RNA is filed under the name plant metagenome. Its description in RNAcentral is "partial contains 5.8S ribosomal RNA, internal transcribed spacer 2, and large subunit ribosomal RNA". The stretch from base 1 to 104 matches the Rfam family "5.8S ribosomal RNA", at positions 51 to 154 of the family's 154-position model. The record is from RNAcentral.
AAAUGCGAUAAGUAAUGUGAAUUGCAGAAUUCAGUGAAUCAUCGAAUCUUUGAACGCACAUUGCGCCCGGCAGCAAUCUGCCGGGCAUGCCUGUCCGAGCGUCAUUUCUGCCCUCGAGCGCGGUUCGGCCCCUAGCGGGCCGGCCGCCGCCCGGUGUUGGGGCGCUGCGGGCCCUCGUGCCCGCAGGCCCUGAAAUGAAGUGGCGGUCCCGCCGCGGCGCCCCCUGCGUAGUAGUAAAGCACCUCGCAUCGGGUCCCGGCGGAGGCCAGCCGUCGAACCUCUCUUUUGAUGGUUUGACCUCGGAUCAGGUAGGGUUACCCGCUGAACUUAAGC